This 253-nucleotide ribosomal RNA is filed under the name uncultured bacterium. RNAcentral describes it as "partial 16S ribosomal RNA". It matches the Rfam family "Bacterial small subunit ribosomal RNA", at positions 524 to 776 of the family's 1533-position model. The record is from RNAcentral.
UACGAAGGGGGCUAGCGUUGUUCGGAAUUACUGGGCGUAAAGCGUGCGCAGGCGGCUUCUCAAGUCAGGGGUGAAAGCCCAGAGCUCAACUCUGGAAUUGCCUUUGAGACUGAGUGGCUUGAGUACGAGAGAGGUGAGUGGAAUUCCCAGUGUAGAGGUGCAAUUCGUAGAUAUUGGGAAGAACACCAGUGGCGAAGGCGGCUCACUGGCUCAUAACUGACGCUCAUGCACGAAAGCGUGGGGAUCAAACAGG